UUUUAUGGAAGCUUCGGUGGAAAUAGCUUGUUCCUAGUGGCGGACGGGUGAGUAACGCGUGGGUAACCUGCCUCACACUGGGGGAUAACAGUCAGAAAUGACUGCUAAUACCGCAUAAGCGCACGGGAUUGCAUGAUCCAGUGUGAAAAACUCCGGUGGUGUGAGAUGGACCCGCGUUGGAUUAGCCAGUUGGCAGGGUAACGGCCUACCAAAGCGACGAUCCAUAACCGGCCUGAGAGGGUGGACGGCCACAUUGGGACUGAGACACGGCCCAGACUCCUACGGGAGGCAGCAGUGGGGAAUAUUGCACAAUGGGGGAAACCCUGAUGCAGCGACGCCGCGUGAAGGAAGAAGUAUCUCGGUAUGUAAACUUCUAUCAGCAGGGAAGAAAAUGACGGUACCUGACUAAGAAGCCCCGGCUAACUACGUGCCAGCAGCCGCGGUAAUACGUAGGGGGCAAGCGUUAUCCGGAUUUACUGGGUGUAAAGGGAGCGUAGACGGAGCAGCAAGUCUGAUGUGAAAGGCAGGGGCUCAACCCCUGGACUGCAUUGGAAACUGUUGAUCUUGAGUACCGGAGAGGUAAGCGGAAUUCCUAGUGUAGCGGUGAAAUGCGUAGAUAUUAGGAGGAACACCAGUGGCGAAGGCGGCU
RNAcentral lists this ribosomal RNA (649 nucleotides) under uncultured Lachnospiraceae bacterium. RNAcentral describes it as "bacterial SSU rRNA". It matches the Rfam family "Bacterial small subunit ribosomal RNA", at positions 62 to 726 of the family's 1533-position model. Lineage: Bacteria; Bacillati; Bacillota; Clostridia; Lachnospirales; Lachnospiraceae. The record is from RNAcentral.